GGCGGACGGGUGAGUAACACGUGAGCAAUCUGCCUUUCACAGGGGAAUAACACUGGGAAACCAGUGCUAAUACCGCAUGAUGUCCAUGCCCGGCAUCGGGGAUGGACCAAAGGAGUAAUCCGGUGAAAGAUGAGCUCGCGUCCGAUUAGGUAGUUGGUGAGGUAACGGCCCACCAAGCCUACGAUCGGUAGCCGGACUGAGAGGUUGAACGGCCACAUUGGGACUGAGACACGGCCCAGACUCCUACGGGAGGCAGCAGUGGGGAAUAUUGGGCAAUGGGGGAAACCCUGACCCAGCAACGCCGCGUGAAGGAUGAAGGCUUUCGGGUUGUAAACUUCUUUGAUCAGGGACGAAUAAAUGACGGUACCUGAGGAACAAGCCACGGCUAACUACGUGCCAGCAGCCGCGGUAAUACGUAGGUGGCAAGCGUUAUCCGGAUUUACUGGGUGUAAAGGGCGUGUAGGCGGGUCUGCAAGUCGGAUGUGAAAUUCCCGGGCUUAACUCGGGCGGGUCGUCCGAAACUGCGGAUCUUGAGUACUGGAGAGGAUAGUGGAAUUCCUAGUGUAGCGGUAAAAUGCGUAGAUAUUAGGAGGAACACCAGUGGCGAAGGCGGCUAUCUGGACGGUAACUGACGCUGAGGCGCGAAAGCGUGGGGAGCGAACGGGAUUAGAUACCCUGGUAGUCCACGC
RNAcentral lists this ribosomal RNA (689 nucleotides) under uncultured bacterium. RNAcentral describes it as "bacterial SSU rRNA". It matches the Rfam family "Bacterial small subunit ribosomal RNA", at positions 97 to 800 of the family's 1533-position model. The record is from RNAcentral.